UACCGAGGGUGCGAGCGUUAAUCGGAAUUACUGGGCGUAAAGCGCGCGUAGGCUGCUUUUCAAGUCGAUUGUGAAAUCCCCGGGCUUAACCUGGGAACUGCAGUCGAGACUGUCUGGCUAGAGUAUGGGAGAGGGAAGUGGAAUUUCAGGUGUAGCGGUGAAAUGCGUAGAUAUCUGAAGGAACAUCAGUGGCGAAAGCGACUUCCUGGACCAAUACUGACGCUCAUGUGCGAAAGCGUGGGGAGCAAACAGG
Molecule: ribosomal RNA, 253 nt
Filed under: uncultured bacterium
Lineage: Bacteria
Description: partial 16S ribosomal RNA
Rfam family: Bacterial small subunit ribosomal RNA
Source: RNAcentral